GGAAGGAUCAUUAAAGGAUUUUAAUAGAGGUUAUAUAUAUUAUUAUAUACCUCUAUAAUCUCUGAACUUGUGGUAAUAAUGAAACUUGAUUGAGUUGGGUUUAAAAAUGGUGUUCUUUUUUUUUUUUUUUACUAAUCUGAUUUGGUUAGAAAAAAAAAGAAAAAAGAAAAUCGACCCAAACAACUUUCUUUAAAAACUCUUUGUUUAAAUUAUAUGACUGAAAUAAAUCAAAUUAAUCCUUUGGAUUAAAAAAAAGUUAUUAAACAACUUUCAACAACGGAUCUCUUGGUUCUCGCAUCGAUGAAGAACGCAGCGAAAUGCGAUACGUAAUGUGAAUUGCAGAUUGUGAAUCAUCGAAUCUUUGAACGCAUAUUGCACUCUUUGGUAUUCCGAGGAGUAUACUUGUUUCAGUAUCAUGAAAAUCUCACAUACAAAAGAUUUUGUUUUGUUUGUGGAUUUGGAUUUGCGAUUUUUUUUUUAAAAAAAAAAAGAGUUGCUAAUCUAAAAUAGAUUUCAUGAAGCUUAAAAACGCUUUGAAUCUUUGCUUAAUAGUUUUGCUUUGUCAAAUCUUUUGCACUGAUUCAAAAAAGUGAAUUGAUUUUUACGAAAUUAAAUCUCAUUUUUUGAUCUGAAAUCAAGUAGGAUUACCCGCUGAACUUAAGCAUAUCAAUAAGCGGAGGAAAAGAAACUAACAAGGAUUCCCUCAGUAACGGCGAGUGAAGCGGGAAGAGCUCAAAUUUAAAAUCUGGCGUAUGCCCGAGUUGUAUUCUAUAGAAGUGUUUUCCUUUGAGUACCGAGAUAUAAGUCUUCUGGAAAGAAGCAUCAUAGAGGGUGAGAAUCCCGUCCAUGAUCUCGAGUGGCUCAAUUUUGUGAUACACUUUCUACGAGUCAGGUUGUUUGGGAAUGCAGCCUAAAAUGGGUGGUAAAUUUCAUCUAAAGCUAAAUAUUGGCGAGAGACCGAUAGCGAACAAGUACCGUGAGGGAAAGAUGAAAAGAACUUUGAAAAGAGAGUUAAACAGUACGUGAAAUUGUUGAAAGGGAACCGUUUGAAACCAGUCAGUAGGGUUGUAAUCAAUCUAUCUCGCGAUGGAUGCACUUGCAAGUUUACUCGUCAAUGUCAGUUUGAUGGGUUGGAAAAAGACUAAUGAAAGGUGACUAUCUUCGGAUAGUGUUAUAGUCAUUAGUGAAAUACAAUCUAUUGGACUGAGGAAUGCAGCUGAAAUGUCGGCUUCGGCUUCUGAUCAGCUUAGGUCAUUGACUUAAUGGUUUUAAAUGACCCGUCUUGAAACACGGACCAAGGAGUCUAACAUAUAUGCGAGUGUUUGAGUGGCAAACUCAUGCGCGUAAUGAAAGUGAACGUAGGUGUGAAUCUUUUUAGAGGCAACAUCGGCCGACUCUGACGUUUUUAACUGACGAGUUUGAGCAAAAGCAUAUCUGUUGGGACCCGAAAGAUGGUGAACUAUGCCUGAAUAGGGUGAAGUCAGAGGAAACUCUGAUGGAGGCUCGUAGCGAUUCUGACGUGCAAAUCGAUCGUCAAAUUUGGGUAUAGGGGCGAAAGACUAAUCGAACCAUCUAGUAGCUGGUUCCUGC
This 1590-nucleotide unclassified non-coding RNA is filed under the name uncultured fungus. RNAcentral's name for it is "sequence contains 18S rRNA gene, ITS1, 5.8S rRNA gene, ITS2, 28S rRNA gene". The stretch from base 625 to 1590 matches the Rfam family "Eukaryotic large subunit ribosomal RNA", at positions 1 to 961 of the family's 3401-position model. The record is from RNAcentral. Lineage: Eukaryota; Fungi.